Molecule: non-coding RNA, 69 nt
Organism: Papio anubis (olive baboon)
Lineage: Eukaryota; Metazoa; Chordata; Mammalia; Primates; Cercopithecidae
Source: Ensembl
GUAGACAUAGUUUAAUCAAAACGUUAGACCGUGAACCUAACUAUAGAAGCCCACCACUUCUUGUUUACC